Equus caballus (horse) is the source of this 3166-nucleotide long non-coding RNA. RefSeq lists it as uncharacterized. NCBI's taxonomy places the organism in Eukaryota, Metazoa, Chordata, Mammalia, Perissodactyla, Equidae. The record is from RefSeq and is a predicted model, not a curated record.
UCUGAACUGGCAAAACCCUGGGCCGCCGAAGUGGAGCACACGAGCUGAACCACUUGGCCACGGGGCCAGCCCCCCGCUCCUUCCUCCUAAUCCAAAAUGUUACUAUUAUAAAUAUAUUUUAAAACAAAUUUUAAACAUUAUAUUUAAAACAAAGACAUUUUUGUUUUAUAAAAGGGCAGAAAUUUGAAUAGAAAUCAGAAGACUCCAUUCUCUAUAAUCACAUAAGUUCAGUUUUCUUUGUUGAAAAUGACUAUUUCAGAAUGAUUAUAAUGGUGUUAACAUGUGAGUACAAAACCUCUUAGGAAAGUAACAAUGUUGGUUGUUUACUUUAAAUUUUAUUAAUGUAAGAAGAGAAUACUUGAUGGCUAUUAUUGGAUGCCUGAGUUCACUUCCCUUAGGAAAGAAGGGAGAGAAACAGAGGAUGUAAUUAGGGUGGAACACAAUGAGGGUUGGAGAGGGUGGAAGGACACAAUGACACUUCCCUCCCAGGCCAGCCCUAAGAGCCAGCAGGGACUGUGGACAAGGCAGCAGUUCAACCCUGCACACAUCAGUAGUUGUGCACUUGAGUUUCCUCAUCUCUAAGACCACAGGGCUUGGCCAGCCAGCCUCCAAAGACCUUUCCAGAGCUUUGUCAGUCUGUGAUUUUGAAACAGAACUUGAUUCCAUUUGAGAAGAUUAACAAUCAGAAACGAGGAAUGUCAGCAGCAAUGGCUGGCUCUUUACCUGUCCUACACCACACAGAUGUGUUGCUGGGGUACACCACACAGCCUUACCACUCUAGCUCAAGAAAUAACAUAUGCCAGCAAUAGUACUCACACAUGACAGUAGGAAAGUUGUCACAGAUUCACAAAUUAUAUUUACCACUUUAGAAAAACGCCUAUCUUUGUUCAAUAUUCAAUCUGUCAUAUCAAACCCACCAGAAUUAUCUUGCUGGCCGUCUUAAAAAACUUACCAUUAUAUUAUUGAAUAAAUAAAGAACUUAUAACUAGUUUAUUUGCAAAAAGAUUAUUUUAAAAUGUUUUUCUUCUCUUACAUCAUAUAAUUAACCUAGUGUCAUGGAUGAAAAGGAAUGCUGCUAGUUAAGGCAAUAGAAUUACGAGGUGCUGAAUGGUAAGUAGUACCUAUUUGAUAAGAGGAGUAUCUUCUGUUCACUCCUAUAUGGCUUUUCUCUUGUCACGUGUCAAGGAGUAGGAACCAAAGCCCUAAGUACAAUAGUCCUUAUUUAUACUUGCUCCUCAACAUUCAUUGAGUGUACAUUAUGUGCCAGCUUCAUGCUAAAGGCUAAAGGGUAGCGACAGAAUGAUGAGCAAGACACAUUCUGGUCCUCUGUUGACUUAUAGGGACUGAGGGGAAAUGAGACUGGCACCAGGAGGACCAAGAGCCCAGAGGAGGAAAACAAGAUCUGAAUUAGGGUGAUAGUGAGCAGGGAGAAGAGGUGAAACGUUUGAAAGAUAUUUAGGAGGUAGAAUCAACAGGACUUUAGUAACAGUUAGUAUGUGGAACAAGAGAGGAGCCUGGAAGAUGCAAAGGGAUUUCUUGACCAUGAGAAACAAGACACAGUGACUGGAUUUAAUGUGUGAGUCCAGUUCUUGUCACUUAGGGUAAAUAUUCAGUUUCAAAUCUCAUCGUUAAUAAAAAGCCAUUGUAAGAACAUAAUAGAAGAAAUCAGAUGACUUCUGCCUGAGAUUCUGACCAAUGGGGUACUGAAACUUGCCACUGGACACUCCAUGGCUUAAGCUGGUCAUUUAUUAAAUAUAAAUGAUGUCUUCUUUUGAGUUCAUAAUAAACUCAAGUGCUGAAGGCCAUGGGCUAUAAAACAGUUUUAAUCUAGACUAUGUUUAUUUAACAACUUGUCUCUUCUUUUCUUCUACUGAAUCUCCCAUGGCACAGAUUGCCCAUGAAGGACCUGUAAAUAGCCAAGCCAAAUGGAUUGUUUUCAAUCCACAUCUUCCUUGACCUCUCUACAGCCUUUGAAACUUUUGACCACUUUCUCCAUGAAAUCCUCUCCCCUCUGACUUCCAUGCACCAGUCACUUUGGUUCUCUUCCUUUCCAUGGCUUCUCCCCCUCAGUCUCCUCUGAAGGCUCCUUUGCUCUGCUCAACCCUUAAAGACUGGUGACCUCAGUUACCACUUUGGGGCUGAUGCCUCUCACCUCCAUAUCUGUAGCCCAGUCCUCUCUCCUUCCCUAAUGAGCUCUACAUCUAUUCUUCUGGAUGUCCCUCAGACACAUCAAACUCAAGACGGUCAUCAUGAAGCUGGUCAUCUCCUUGUCCUCAACACCUGCUCUUCUUCCUGUAUCUUCAGCUCAUUUGCCAGCACUCACGACACUCAGGACAAACUUGAGACUUGGAGUCAUCCUUGACUCCUUACACCUGAGUUGAUCACUAUAUCCUGACAAUGCUACCUCUUAAAUAUUUCUCCACUGUGUCCCCUUUCUCUGUGCCAACUGUGAUGAUCCUGGUUCAGCCCCUCCAUUUUCUCUUACUCAGACUCCUUUGCUCCCAGCCUUGUCUUUCUUAAGAAAUGUCCUCCAAGCAAGCUCUAGAAUGAGCUCUUUAAUAUUCAAAUCUGCUCUUAUUUCUCUCCUGCUUUAAAUUCUUCUGCGGCUCCCCUUCACACUAAGGGUACAGCCAAGCUCCUCUGCAUGGCACCCAUGUGUAUUCAGCUCCUCCCCAAGAAUGUGUGAGUUCCUCCAGAACAGGGACUAUCUGAGGUGAGCAGGAGAGGUGGGACUGGGAGUUUGGGAGUUAGAAGAGCAGCAGAGUAGCUGCUGAGGAUGUUAUUUUUAGUCUUCCUAGCCAUAGCUAAAAUCUUACCUAAACCCUACAGCAGGAGUAUUUCAAGUUUAAAAACAAUUCACAUGUUGUAGGGGAAUUUACUAUGGUCAUGGAAUCCAAGAAGAAUCUCCAGGAAGGAAUACAGAGAGAAAGUAAAUUUGAAUUUCCAUACCAACGAGCAGUGGUUUAUUGAAGAAUUGUUUUCAGCAUUAUUUUUGACAUAUGGAGAACCAGAUGUGCCCAGGGUCAAAAGAAUGGACGAUAAGUUUGAAGCAAUGUUCCUCUUAAAUUGUUUAUAUUUGUGGCCAUUAUUUUGAAACAUUUGCAAAAAAAUUUUGAUCUUUAAACUUUUUCCCUUGGUGUUCUUAUAAAAUAAAAAUUGAAAUGAU